ACAGAUGCAGGCAGGGAGCGGGAGGAGGGAAUGGGAAUGAGCUGAGCAGCAGCAUCACAGCUGGAGGGCUGGACAUGGAUGACCAGCUCCUCACUUUCAGGUGUUUCCACAUCAAGCAUCCUGCAGACAGCUAACAAGUUCAUUCUACAAAGUACAGUUCUCACCACUUUAUCCUUCCUCUGCUCCGAAACAGUCAAUGGUUUCCCACUGUCCACAGGGGAUGCUUAACGCAUGUGGGUUAUUCAGCUAGAAAGACAAGGACCCCCAGUCUAGGAGGGCACCUGACCUGAAGGGCUGGGGUAACCAAACCACCUGAGACCGAGAAAGACGUGGAAACUACAGAUGUCAUCUUUCCUGGUCUUGGCAAGGCCCUGCACGUCCCCAUUUUCACCUACAAUGAGACUCCGAGACAGGCGGCCUGACUUGCUCAAAGACGCACAACCUCUUUGGUCUCUGCCUCUUUUCAUGGCACAGACACCAAAAGCAGGUGCAGAACCAGGGCGACAAAAGUGAGGCCACUGGGAAGGGAAGUAAGAAGGACUGGGACAUGAUGCAAAGGCCCUACAGGCUCCCACUUUACGAUGGGCCUACAAAUGACACUGAAGUUGGCGCAGCACACAGGACUUUCUCUGGGCAAGCAAAAAGAAAAACCAUGACUUGGUGUACACUGAAGGGGAGAAGGAAGAGGGGAACUUAUCUGCCUGGCUUUCUCCCUUCUCCUAUUCCCAUUGUUCAGUGUGACUACAACACACUCUGGGCUGCAUCAAAGAAGGUACAUUUGGGAUGUCACAUCAAAGCACAAGUUCCUACUUAGGUAUUUAGCUUUGAGAAAAGAGAGCUAAAACAAACCACAGAGUAUGAAAUGUGCUGAUUUGGUUUUUAGCCCUAGGAAUCUGUACUAAGCCAGAGUUGAGUAUGCAGCAACAACAAAACCCAAAUGCACAUAUGAGAGAGAGACUCGGUCACCCACGUGUCUGCCAUGGAGCCACUGAAGCUGGAGCGAGGCGCAGAGCUCAGUCACUCCUGCCUCCCCAAGGAUGUCUGCCAUACCUUCUCCCUUCCUGGCGCCUCUGCCCCCCUGCACAUUCACACAGCCACCCAUGGCCACAGGUCCACGGCAGAAAGCACUCUCACAUACACCCGUCAUGUGCACCCAACUGGCAGCUAUGUAUAAGGAGGAAAACAGGUCUGGCUUUAUACAUGCUUGGGGUGGAUUCUCUCUCCUUCCAGCACCUUUAUCCCUUGCCACAUAUUUCCUUCAACAUACUCUAAAGGGUUGGCUGUGUCUUGUGAGCUGA
Molecule: long non-coding RNA, 1298 nt
Organism: Gorilla gorilla gorilla (western lowland gorilla)
Lineage: Eukaryota; Metazoa; Chordata; Mammalia; Primates; Hominidae
Exons: 4
Source: RefSeq, a predicted model, not a curated record